AGAGAGUUUAAAUUAGGGUUGUCAUGCUGAUUAUAAGUGAAACUAGUUAAUCAAUUAUUGAAGGAAUUGUAUAAAUGUUUCAUAACCAAUUAUUAAUGGAAACUGAUAUUUUAGGAAAAUACUGUUUAUUCAUAUAAUCUAAUUUUAAUUGAAUAAACUGAUUUUUCUGUGCAGAAUGUUAUGCUUCUCUGCCUAAAAAUGCUGCAGUUUGCAAUGUGACAUGCCUAAUUUAGACAGGCAAGUUACAUUCUUCUCCAACGAACAUUUUCUAAUAUUAACAGAUAUUCAUGACAAUAAUUUCAAUUUUUAACCAUCAUGGAUAGAGUAGAUUCUGUAAUACUAAAAUUUUAAAUUUCACUUUUCAAAUAGUUGCAAUUAUCAAUGAUAUGACAAAGUCAGUUUUAGUCUUAAAAAUCACUUUCUGUACCUGACAAGGAGUAAAACAGAAAACAGUCACAGAUGCAGUUUUGGUCAAAAUCCUCUGGAUGAUUUUGAUAGAGGUCACUUGGCUAAUCCUAUAGAAUUACUGUAACUUCUCUAACUUUGUUUCCCUCUGUAGUACUUUUCAACAUGAUUGAACUAGCAAAAGCACUUUGAGUUAUUUGCCAGAACUUCCUGUUACUGUGUAGAAAUUUCUAGUCGUCUUUCUUGCGUUAUGUGUGCAAUACAUGUGCUUGUUCACUUCAUCUAAUAACUAUGUAGAUUAGUGUAAAUAAUGUUAAUUUCAUUAGUUAUCUUGUUAUUGUCUCUUUAUCAAGAUAAUUAUUUUGUUACUGGUUGCUGUUCUUUUCACUGUCUUUUAUAUGUUGCUGGUCAGUUUCUGAAAGUUUCCCUCUCUGCCAAUGAAAGUCAUCCACUUCUAAUUGACAGAGAGGGAAAAACUUUGCUUUUAUUGGACUCCUCAAUGGUUAUUUUCACAUCACUCCCAAUACAACUCUCUCUAGAAAGUAAUAGGCUUAGUAGGAAAAGUGUAGAAAAAAAUUGGUGAUAAUAAAACAAAAGUGUCAUACCUCUUUUAACGGUGGAUCUUCAUUUACAUUAGUAUUUUCUCAUUUUUUGGAAAAAAAAUAGCAAAAAUGGAGUAAAAAAUCAAUAAUGG
Molecule: long non-coding RNA, 1099 nt
Filed under: Androctonus crassicauda
Lineage: Eukaryota; Metazoa; Arthropoda; Arachnida; Scorpiones; Buthidae
Source: RNAcentral